This is a small nuclear RNA of Vombatus ursinus (common wombat), 105 nucleotides long. The record is from Ensembl. NCBI's taxonomy places the organism in Eukaryota, Metazoa, Chordata, Mammalia, Diprotodontia, Vombatidae.
GUGUUUGCUUCAGCAGCACAGAUACUAAAAUUGGAACAAUGCAGAGAAAUUAGCAUGCCCCUGCGCAUGGAUAACACACAAAUUCAUGAAGCGUUCCAUAUUUUU